GUACACCGACGAGCUGAUUCCACCUCAUUGUCGACAGAUUGUCGUUGUCGACGUAUUUGACCACGCUUACGUCCUUGUCCACGUGGCAUUUCUGGAAAAAAUCAUGACAUAAUUAUAUUAACUAUAACAAAAAAAGAUCAUCACAUAAAAAAUCAUUAUAUUUUGAACUAACUUACAAUCAUACUAAAAUCCUUCAUCGUCACUUAUAAAUUCAUUAUCGGAUUCGAUAUCUACAUUAUCUAAUUCAAUAUCGUUGUCAACAUUUGUUUCUUCAAGAACGUGAUUUACACUCAAAGAUACAUCAUCAAUCCUGUCAUCGUUGAUUGCAUUCACAUCAAAUUCAUUAAAAUCGUCUUGAUAUGUAUCUAAAUCUUUUUCUGAAACGUCAAUGACAUUUCGAGCUUUUGUUCUAAGCACCGUAUACCAAUCGGUUGAUUUUCCGGAUACAUUCGGUAUAUAACAAACUUGCUCAGAUUGCCAAGAAAAAAUGAACGGCUCGUAUGUUUUUUGUUUAGAAUGUGUGUCAAUUGGCACUGUUUUGAACUUGUCUAUUUUGAUUCCUUUGUGAAUAUCAUACCAAAUAUAGUUAAACAUCGAAAAUCGAGUAUCAUCACCCAGAAAUUCAAGUUCGAUAAUUUCCUGAAGAACUCCAUAAUAAUUAUCUCCAUCAUCUCCAUAAAAAGAAGUCCCACGAAACAUGACACUACAAUUUUGCGACGUUUUGCUUUUGUCUUCAUUUUGCACAUGAAAUCUAAAUCCAUUGGUAAUAUAUUUUUUAUAACAUGUAACUUCUCUAUGAGGACCUUUCGAAAGAAUACGCAACCGUUGAUCUUGUUGACCAUGCUUUCGAAAGCACGACCUGGUUGAGUAAAUAUUGAUAAACGACCACCAGAUUCGAUUUCCCCACCAUCAAAAUUCCUUGAUUUUCUACUAAAUUUUGAUAUGAACAUACUAUCGAAGUACAUCGAGAAAAAUGUCCCUAGUUUUUCAGCAAUAUAAACCUCUGCAAUAGACCCUUCAACGCAUGUCUUAUUACGGACUUUCUUUUUUAAGAAAAACAUAAAUCUGUAAAUAAAAAUUAUAUUUAUAUCAUAUAAAUAUAUAAUUUGCAAUAUUGAUUGUUCGCAAAAGAGAAUUACCGUUCAUAAGGAUACAUCCACCUAUAUUGCACUGGUCCCCUAACUUCAGCUUCAUAUGGAAGAUGGAUCAACAAAUGCUCCAUUGAAUCAAAAAAAGAAGGUGGAAAUAUCUUUUCCAAUCUACAUAUCGUCUCUACAAUUGAUUCCCCAAGUUUGUUCAUUUCAUUUUCUUUAAGUGUUGGAGAACAUAUGUUGCUGAAGAAACGACUAACUUCGGUAAAUACAUUAGUAAAUUCUUUUGGUAAAAAAUUAUCAAAAGCGAUAGACAAUAAUCUCUGCAUGAAUACGUGACAAUCAUGACUUUUCAUUCCCGUGAUAGUAUUUUCAUUGAUUUUGACACAUUUAGAGAUGUUUGACACAACCAUCGGAAAAACGAAGUAGAGAAACCCAUUCACACACUUUUUUUAUUUGAAAUUUUUCCAAUACAUACGAUGCUUUCGGAACAAAUAUUUUAUCUCCAAUCUCUCGAGGGUGUAAGUCAUGUCGAAUAUCUAAUUCUAUAAGGUCUUUGCGGCUUUUGAGAUUAUCUUUGCUUUUCAUCUUCACAUUCAUUACUGUAUUGAAAAUAUUAUCAAAAAUAUUUUUCUCAACAUGCAUUACAUCAACAUUGUAACGAAAAAGUAAUGAACUCCAAUACGGCAAUUCGAAAAAAUACUUCUUUUCGUCCAAUUGUGUGUCUUUCCAAAAUUUGUCAAUUUUCUUUUAUCAUUACUUGCUCCAAAAAACACAUCAUCUUUUAAAGGUAAACAUAAUUCUAUUUUUUUCCAUCAAUACAUUCAAUUGGUGUGUCUUUCUCAACUCUCUUUAGAAAUUUAUUUUUUUGUCGUCGAAAUGAAUGAUGUUCGGGAAGAAAUCGACGGUGACAAUCGAAAAAACAAGAUUUUCCACUAUUUGUCAAAUAAAAUGAUUUAGUCUUUUCCAUACAAUAUGGAUAUGAUAACUUCCCAUGUGUACUCCAACCAGACAACAUUGUAUAGGCUGGAAAAUCAGAAAUAGUCCAUAAAAGUGAUGCUCUCAUUGUAAAAUUUGACUUACUAAAGGCAUCGUACGUCCCGAUACCUUCAAUCCAUAGUAGUUUAAGCUCAUCAAUCAAUGGUUCCAAAUAAACGUCAAUUUCUUUUUUUGGACCUUUAGGACCGGGAAUCAACAUAGUUAAGAACAUAAAUUGUUGUUUGUUAUACAUCCACGGAGGAAGGUUGUACGGUGUGACGAUCACUGGCCAUAAAGAGUAUUGUGAUGAAGAAUGACCGAAAGGAUUGAAUCCAUCUGUAGAAAGACCAAGCCUCACAUUUCGACCAUCAGAUGCAAAUCUAGGAUGAAUACUAUCAAAAUGCUUCUAAGCUUUGCCAUCAGACGGAUGUCGUAACUCAUUAGGGACCUCUUGACGUCGUGUACUGUGCCAUACCAUUUCUUUCGCAAUCCUUGAACAAUGGUAUAGUCGUUGUAGUCGAGGGAUCAAAGGAAAAUAACGAAGAAUUUUAACGGAAAUAUCACGACCACCGCUUGUCCGUGUCUUAAACCUUGGUUCACGGCAUGUCGGGCAUUCAGUUAACUCUUUAUAUUCUUUUCGAUACAAUAUACAAUUGUUCGUGCAUGCAUCUAUUUUUUCAUAUUUCAAACCAAGGUUUUUCAAUUUUUGUUUAGCCUUAUAAAACGUAUCUGGAAGCUUGUUAGGUUUUGGUAUGAUUUUCUGAAUAGUUUUCAUCAAGGUAUCGUAGACUUCCACAGAUAGUCCAUAGGAUGAUUUAAGAUACAUUAAUUCUGUCAAGAUCUCCAAAAUAGAUGCAUCGCAACCUUCAUAUACUUUCGCAUAACCAGAAUUUAGCAAAUCGUAAAACUUUUGGGCUUCAUCAUUCGGUUCUUCAUCAUGUAAAUCAAAUGGUUUACUUGCAUCGUGGACCAUGUCGACAAAUGGAUUAGUGUUCAUACGUUCAUCAUCGACCAUUUCAACAUCAUUUAUAGUGAUGCAUUUAUCUACACGUACUCUUUUCCUUGGUUCUCCAUGUCGGUCCCAAUUAGUGUAAUCACUCAUAAAACCGGACUUGUAAAGAUGAACUGUCAUUAUAUCUCUAACUUACUUAUUUAAACAACAACUACUGUAAAGAGUUAAAAUACUAUAAAGGUUAUCUUAAAAAUGUACCCAUAAUAUCAAGUAUAAAUAUAGGCUUAAUGUGUAAUAAUAUUCUUAAGUUGAAUGUUUAAUUUUGUGAGUCAAUUAAAGAGUGAAAGAUUCUUGCUUUACUCUUCUUUUUCUAAUUGACCUAACAACUUCCAUCCACCCCCUUUCUUCUAUCUUCUUCUUCUAUCAUUUUCUUGUUAAUUGAUGGCUAUAAAGGAAACCUCUCCAGAAUUCUACAUGGUAUCAAGAGCUUCAGUUUUUGCGAUCAAAACUAGGGCACGGCUUUUGUAAUCAAAGGUUGGAGCGGUUUCUCGUCGAUUUUUUCUCAAGAUCGGCUACAGCGCGUGGUUUUUCUUCUUCUCGCCGAUUGAUUGCAAUCUGCGAUUGCAACUCUGGUUUAAAUUUUUUUUUUCACUUUUCUGUUAUCUGCGAUUGCAAGUUAUUGAACCAUUGAUUUCUAAAAUUUUAAUCAGAUUCUUUUAGUGUUUGAAAUUUUCAAUCAGUUUUCGCGUUCGGCGUAUGCGUCUCACAAGAGGAACGAUGGCAUAGUGCUCAGCUGGAUUAAAGCCACGGUAUGUAAGGAAAUUCAGCCUCUACUUUUACCUUGUGUUACUGCAUAUGAGGCAUGGCAUAUCUUAGAAACAAAUAUUUCGCCUAUUGAUAAAAAUCAAAUUCAAGCUCUUCGUGAUGAGUUGAAUUCACUAAGGAAGACAACAGAUAUUUCAAUGAAAGAAUAUAUUUUCAAGAUUAAAAGUUUGAAACACUCUCUAGCAGCAGCAGGAUAUUCAAUGUCUGAUGAAAGAGUGUCAGAGUAUGUUCUCAGAGGUCUUGGACCUGAAUUCCGUAUGUUUAGGACAUCUCUGAAUUUUCAGAAGGAUAUUACUUUUACAGAACUUGCAGAUGCUCUUAUUAAAGAAGAAAUUUUGAUAAAAUAACUGGAUCAACCAACAACUGAAGGGGAUUAUCAGGUGCAUUAUUCCAAUUAUAAUAGGAAUAAUUUCAAUAGAAAUGCUAAAUUUUAUCCAGGAAAAGGCAAGAAUGGUGGUUCUUAUUAUAAACCAUCAUACAAAAAUCAAGGAACAAUGGUCAUAACUGUUCCUCCUCAAAUUGCUCAGAAUAAUUUGCCUUCCAUUCUGAAUCUACCAUCUUCACAGGACAACACAUCUGCUUGUCAGAUUUGUGAGAAAAAAGGACAUCUGGCUAGAAAUUGCCCAGAUAGAGGUAAUUUUGCUGCCUAUGCCAUGGAGGAUGAUUAUGAUACUCAGAUAACUGGAAAUGAAGAAGAAGCAGCAGCACAUUCUGUAACAGUCCAAGAUUUGGACUGGUGUCUUGACUCAGGAGCUAAUAAUCACAUGGUAGCUGAUGAAGCUUUGCUCCAUGACUGCCAGACCUAUACAGGUAUUGGGUGUGUUGUGAUUGGAUCNNNNNNNNNNNNNNNNNNNNNNNNNNNNNNNNNNNNNNNNNNNNNNNNNNNNNNNNNNNNNNNNNNNNNNNNNNNNNNNNNNNNNNNNNNNNNNNNNNNNUACGCUUAAUAGAGUUUUAUGUGUGCCUAAGAUUAAGAAAAAUCUAAUUUCUGUGACUAAACUAUGUAGUGAUUUGAACUGUUAUAUACAGAUUUCACAGAAGGAAUUUUCAGUGAAGAGCCUGAAGAUGCAUCGGACGCUUUUUUCUGGAAUUAAUAAAAGAGGGCUAUACUAUUUCAGCCCGGACAUCAACUGUAAUUUUGGCAUCAAGGUCUCUUCAGAUACAUGGCACAAAAGACUAGGACAUCCUUCUCUCAAAAUCAUGGAUAAAAUAGGACAUGUAUUAGGAUUAAACAAUUCAGAUUUAAAAUCCUUAGAAUUUUGUAAUAACUGCCCUAUGGCAAAAAUGUCAAAAUUACCUUUUUCUUGUAAUGAAAUAAAAACUUCUUUUCCAUUGGAGAUAAUACAUAUAGAUCUAUGGGGUCCAGCCCCAAUUGUUUCAAUGAAAAAUUAUAAUUUUUUUGCAACAAUUGUAGAUAAUAAAACAAGGUAUACAUGGAUUAUACUAUUAAGGGCUAAAAGUGAAUUUACUGAUCAGUUUAUUCUAUUUCAGAAAAAUAUAGAAAACCAGUUAGGGCUAAAAAUUAAGAAAAUUUAUUCAGAUGAGGGUGGUGAAUUUCUUAGUACCAAGCUGAAAACUUGGCUAGGACAAAAAGGAAUAACACAUAGAUUCUCAUGUCCCUAUACACCUCAACAAAAUGGGAUUGUUGAGAGGAAACAUAGACACCUGCUUGAGACCAGCAGAUGUUUUUUUACUCAAUCCGGAAUUCCAAAAAAUAUGUGGCCAGAGGUCAUCUCUGCAGCAUGUUUUCUGAUAAAUAGGUUACCUAGUUCUGUUUUAGGGUUCAUAUCUCCCUUUGAGAUGUUAACCAAAAAUAAACCAGAUUAUAAAAUACUGAAAUUAUUUGGUUGUUCAUGUUAUCCCUUAAUAAGUAAAGGAUUAAGGAAUAAAUUUGAACCUACUGCCUAUAAAUGUGUCUUUAUAGGGUAUUCAAACAAACACAAAGGAUAUAUGUGUUUAAAGUUAAAAGACAAUAAAGUCAUUAUAUUUCGAAAUGUCAAAUUCAAUGAAAAUGAGUAUCCUUUUUUAACUAAAACAGAUACUAAAACAGUAAAGAAGCCUGAAAAGCAAAUGAUAAUACUUCCAAUAAAGACUAGCUACUACAAUAAAUUUUGGCUUUCCUAUAAAUACAGGAAACUCAAACAGUGAGUUAAGGGUAGAACCAGAUUUGUCAAGUCCUGUAAGGAGAGUCACUCACUCACAACAGAACAACUCUACAAAUGACUCAAUGGAUAUAAUCUUAGAGUCAACUGAGAUAAGUAGCUCAGUACCCCAGACCAUGAGAGUUGAGUCUGAUAUACAAUCUAACACUAGAAGUGAGGUAAGGCAACAAAGAGAUAUUUCUGAGAAUCAAACAAACACAGUUUGUAACUCAAUACCACGAGAUAUAAGUAGUAGAUCUGAAGAACCAAUCAACACAGGAGGUAGAUAUCCAACUAGAGAUAGAAAAGCACCAAAUUUUUUAGAAAAUUAUGAGUGUAAUUCUUGCUCUGGCGAAGAGAUAGAACCAUCCACCUUCAGUGAGGCAAGUAAAGAACCUAAGUGGAAGGAAGCAAUGCAAGAGGAACUAGAUGCAUUGAAGAUUAACAAAACAUGGACUUUAGUACCAAAAAAUUCGUCAAUGAAUAUAGUAGGUUGUAAGUGGAUCUAUAAAAUUAAAAAGAACUCAGAUGGUUCAAUAGAAAGGUAUAAAGCUAGAUUAGUAGCUAAGGGCUACAAUCAGGAGGAAAGAGUGGACUAUACAGAGACUUACAGUCCAGUAAUUAGGAUGAAUACAGUAAGAUCAAUCAUUUCAAUUGCUGUGACAUAUAACUGGCAGCUAAGACAACUGGAUAUCAAAAAUGCCUUCCUAAAUGGCUUUCUAAACGAAACAGUAUACAUGAGACAACCAACUGGGUUUCAUAAUAAGAAUUAUCCAGAUCAUGUGUGUCUAUUACAUAAGGCUCUAUAUGGCUUAAAACAAGCACCCAGAGCCUGGUACUCAAGACUUCAAAAUUUUCUAGUUGAAAACGAAUUCAAAAAUAGUCUUACAGAUUCCUCAUUGUUCCUCAAAGUGAACAAUGGACAUAGAAUCUACAUACUAGUCUAUGUAGAUGAUAUUAUAAUUACUGGGAAUUCUAGUGAGGAAGUAAAUAGGUGCAUAGAAUUAAUAUGUAAACAAUUUUCAUGUAGAGACCUAGGGCUUCUUAACUAUUUUUUAGGAAUGGAAUGUAUAAGACAAGGGAAAACCAUAAUUCUAAGUCAAGAAAAAUAUGUGUCUGAUAUAUUGAAAAAAUUCAAUAUGAUGGACUGCACACCAUGGUGAUUGACGGACGGACUCUUGACUCUCAGUGAUCUCUCAAUGCUCNNNNNNNNNNNNNNNNNNNNNNNNNNNNNNNNNNNNNNNNNNNNNNNNNNNNNNNNNNNNNNNNNNNNNNNNNNNNNNNNNNNNNNNNNNNNNNNNNNNNNNNNNGGUGUGCUGGAAAUUUGGUGGCCUGGGCAUUAAAGAAACAGGCAGUGGUAUCAAAAUCGAGCUGUGAGGCUGAAUACAGGGCACUAUCUGGGAUAACUUCAGAAGUUAAGUGGUUCUGUAAUUUGUUUAGGGAACUGGAGAUUAGGUUUGAGACAGCUCCACAAAUAUUAUGUGAUAAUAAAUCAGCAAUUUUUCUCACUAAAAAUCCAUCAUCAAACCUGAAAACUAGACAUAUAGACAUCUCACACCAUUUUAUUAGAGAGCUGGUGAUGAAAGGGGCAAUAAAAGUAGAUUAUAUUGUUGCUAGUCAACAACUAACAGAUGGUUUCACUACAGGGCAAUUCAUGGUUCACAGGGAUAGGCAUAAACUAGUACCAACCAGUCCUGAUCCUAGAAUCCUAAUGAAGGACAAGAGUAGGGUAACAAAAUCGCAGGAAAUAAGUAAACUAAAGCUAAUUAAGGAGGCUUAGAAGAAAUGAUCUGAGUGCUGAUAAUAGUUGUGUAAGGUAGUAGAAAUCUGGGAUUUCUGUUACCUAUUGUAGGAAAACAUUGUCACUAGGAUAAUGUAAAUACUCAUCACUGGAAUGUUGGGAACAUAGCAGUGAGUAAUUUGAUUCGGGAGAAUCACCUAAGUAUGAUACUAGUAAAUAUCUUUAUUAUUAGUUUCUGCUCUAUGGGGUAAUAAGUCUGUACAAGUCAGGUUAUUACAAAUAGAGACUGUGAAAUAAAUAAAUCAUGAAUAAUAAACUAAUGACUAUAUAAGGGAGAUUAUAAUACUGAGUAUUAGUUUAUAUAUAUAUAUAUAUAUAUAUAUAUAUAUAAUAUAAUAAUAAUGAAAAUACAAUUAGAUGUAUAUGAUUAUGAAUAACAUAUAUCUGACGUGUUGUAUUUCUGAUUUCUGUUCUUAUAAAAAUACUUGUAUUCAUAUUAGGAAAUGUUAGAUAAAUAUGAUGUUGAGAAUUGCAGGGUGAUAAUCUGAAAUAUGUUCUAAAACUAUUUCUAGUUUGGUUUGAUACAUAAUUUUUUUAAGGAAUGGUCUAUAUUUUUCUGGUUUGGUUUGGGGGAAUGGUUACUGUGGAUGUAUGUUUGUGUGGUUGCAUGUCAUACUAAGAUAGGUCAUGCCCAAAUAGCUGGAAAUUUAAUCUGGAGUAGUAAAUGUGAAACCUAGAGCAGUAGGAGCUUUGAGAAUGAGCAGCGAGUUUUUUUUCUUUCCUUUCUUUCUUUCUUUCUUUCUUUCAGGGUCUUAAUUGGUAUAACAGGAGGGUUUUCCCAGUAAAAAUGAAAGAAAGAGGAGCAAAAAUAAGAAUCCCAGCUGGGUUUUUCGCCCCCCUGUUAGCUCAAUUAAUUCAUAGCUGAGUUAGUUCACAAGGCUGCUAAGGAGGUGGACAGACAAGUUGAUGAUCGUACUCAUGUUCAAAUUCACAACUCAGUAUUGCAUUCUGGAGUUGUCAAUUUGCGGGGGAAUGUAAAGAGUUAAAAUACUAUAAAGGUUAUCUUAUAAAUGUACCUAUAAUAUCAAGUAUAAAUAUAGGCUUAAUGUAUAAUAAUAUUCUUAAGUUGAAUGUUUCAUUUUGCGAGUCAAUUAAAGAGUGAAAGAUUCUUGCUUUACUCUUCUUUUUCUAAUUGACCUAACAACUUCCAUCCACUCCCUUUCUUCUAUCUUCUUCUUCUAUCAUUUUCUUGUUAAUUGAUGGCUAUAAAGGAAACCUCUCCAGAAUUCUACAACUACUACAAGGGCAUUUCAUUUUUCCAUCUUCACGUGUCAUAAUUGACUCUGAGAAUGCAAAGUUUAGAAACCGCUCGACGCCAUUGAGAAAUGAAUCGGUAAUUUGAUUUUUCUUAUUUAGUCGGUUGUACAUCCAAUUUCGAUCAUUGUCGACCAUUCUAUAAAAUAAUUGAAACAUGCAAAAAUGAGUUGCAUGUCCGCAUGAGUUUCAUGAAAAAUAUAUCAUGAAAAAUAAAAAAAUAAAUCAUAAUAAGAAAGGCUCAGCUCGGCUCGGGCUCAGCUAGGGCUUGGCAGGCUCAGCUCGGCUCAGCUUGGCUCGGCUCAGUUCGGCUUGGCUUGGCUCAGCUCAGCUCAGCUCAGCUCGGGCUCGGCAGGCUCAGCUCUGCCUGCCGACAGAAUUUUUCUAAGGUUCUUUUUUUCUUAGUGAAAUUAAUAGCUAUCUACUUGUAAACAAUGGAAAUAAGAUAGUAUUAUCUGAUUCAUGGGGAUACAUAAAAUUAAAGAUUUUUAAUGAAAUUAAAGAUUUUCUUUUCAUUUAGAAAGAAAGAAAAAUGAAAUUUAUUACAUGGGUUGCAUUUUAUUUAUUACAUGGCUUGCAUUUUUAAAAGAUUUUCAUGGGGCCGGGAUUCAUGCAUUGGGUUGCAUUUUAUUGGGAAGUUAAAACAAAAUUGGGAAGUUAAAACACCAAAUUGGGAAGUUAAAACAAAAACCCCAACUGAAAUAAUUUAAAUAAUAAAUUGGGAAGAUAAUUUAAAUACCUUCACUAUCUUUAUUCUCCACGAUCCAAAUACCUAAGAAUGUGAUCAAGGGAUAUGAAAAUUAAUAAUGGUAUCAUAUUAUGAUAGUUAGAGAAAAUGGGGGUAAAGUGGUUGAACCAAGCAAAAAUGAGAUUAUCAGUGGUUUUUAACAUAAUCAGAUUAUAUGCAUCACCAUUUCAAUUAAAAAAUGCCACUCUAUAAUGAAGGAUAUCCCACAACAUAUGUUCUUAAAAUAUACAUAUUUAAAAUUGACACUUGACACUGAAACACAUGUAGAAUAUUAGCUUAAAAUUGAGAUCUAAAUAAAUUGCGCAACUCAUCAACAUAAGGCCAUAUUUUCAUAAGAUGUUGAUUGAGCCAUUUCACAUGCACAAAUAAGAUAAAAACAUAUAUAUCCACUGUGCUGGGUAUAAUCAACAAGAUAAACUUAC
This 10209-nucleotide long non-coding RNA is filed under the name Zostera marina. RNAcentral describes it as "long non-coding RNA (ZMAR_LNC001000)". The record is from RNAcentral. Lineage: Eukaryota; Viridiplantae; Streptophyta; Magnoliopsida; Alismatales; Zosteraceae.